This 445-nucleotide ribosomal RNA is filed under the name uncultured bacterium. Its description in RNAcentral is "bacterial SSU rRNA". It matches the Rfam family "Bacterial small subunit ribosomal RNA", at positions 354 to 796 of the family's 1533-position model. The record is from RNAcentral.
GUGGGGAAUUUUGGACAAUGGGCGCAAGCCUGAUCCAGCCAUGCCGCGUGCAGGAAGACGCAUCUAUGGUGUGUAAACUGCUUUUGUACGGGAAGAAACACUCCCUCGUGAGGGAGCUUGACGGUACCGUAAGAAUAAGGAUCGGCUAACUCCGUGCCAGCAGCCGCGGUAAUACGGAGGAUCCAAGCGUUAUCCGGAAUCAUUGGGUUUAAAGGGUCCGUAGGCGGUUUAAUAAGUCAGUGGUGAAAGCCCAUCGCUCACAGAUGGAACGGCCAUUGAUACUGUUAGACUUGAAUUACAAGGAAGUAACUAGAAUAUGUAGUGUAGCGGUGAAAUGCUUAGAUAUUACAUGGAAUACCAAUUGCGAAGGCAGGUUACUACUUGUGGAUUGACGCUGAUGGACGAAAGCGUGGGGAGCGAACAGGAUUAGAAACCCGUGUAGUCC